AGGGUGAACGCUGGCGGCAGGCCUAACACAUGCAAGUCGAACGGCAGCGGGUCAGUAGCAAUACUGAUGCCGGCGAGUGGCGGACGGGUGAGGAAUACAUCGGAAUCUACCUUGUCGUGGGGGAUAACGUAGGGAAACUUACGCUAAUACCGCAUACGAACCAUGGUUGAAAGCGGCGGACCGCAAGGCGUCGCGCGGAUUGGAUGAGCCGAUGUCCGAUUAGCUAGUUGGCGGGGUAAAGGCCCACCAAGGCGACGAUCGGUAGCUGGUCUGAGAGGAUGAUCAGCCACACUGGAACUGAGACACGGUCCAGACUCCUACGGGAGCG
Molecule: ribosomal RNA, 328 nt
Filed under: uncultured soil bacterium
Lineage: Bacteria
Description: bacterial SSU rRNA
Rfam family: Bacterial small subunit ribosomal RNA
Source: RNAcentral